CAACUGCAACGAGUGCUGCAACGAUGUGUCGCGCUCGUACAGCCGCUGAAGAAUCAAAUCAAGAUAUUUUUAUCAAAACAUUAAUUUGCAGCUUAACAUAGGAUUAAAAAAGUACCACUUCGAUCUGUCCAGAUAGGAUGGAAAGUUUCAUGUUGUACAUCGUGUGAGAAAUGAUAUAAUUAGAAGUUGAACACAAUCGAUAACGUAUCGUUACAUCGUCGCUAUCGUACAAUGGUCGAGUUUUAAUCAUAGUUGAUUGAAACAAUACGAUAAGAAGUUACCAAAAAUUAAUUCCGAUUUGUUUAUUGACGUUUCUGUCUGGACCAUGCUAUCAAACAUUUUGAAACAUCGACAGAACCGCGACUCGAUUGAGGAAAACUUACAAGUGGAAUAUGUACAAUAAUGAUAAGAAUAAAUCCCAAGAUGUCUGGAUACCUAAGGACUGUCUAAAUAUUAUUCAUCAGUAUAAAAACUCUAGUCAGUCGUUGGAUAUCGAUAGGAAUAAUUACUAAAGAUUAUUAAUCAUUAAACGGAGGCUGCUGGAUUAAUCGUGAUUCAGAAUUACAAAAUAUAUGCAAGGGUACUUCGACCAUCUCAACUGGUCACGUAUUUGUGAUUUUAGUACUUAAUUUGUCACAUCAUUAUUAAAAUUUUUUAAUAAAACUUCUAUAUCGUAAAAAAA
Osmia lignaria (orchard mason bee) is the source of this 682-nucleotide non-coding RNA. The record is from RefSeq and is a predicted model, not a curated record. Lineage: Eukaryota; Metazoa; Arthropoda; Insecta; Hymenoptera; Megachilidae.